Molecule: long non-coding RNA, 497 nt
Organism: Saccostrea cuccullata (small rock oyster)
Lineage: Eukaryota; Metazoa; Mollusca; Bivalvia; Ostreida; Ostreidae
Exons: 3
Source: RefSeq, a predicted model, not a curated record
AUUUUAGAACUGUGACACAGGAGCAUCACCUUUGAAAGGUUACAAAUGUUACAAAUGACACCAAUGAAGGAUAUAUGAGCAACUGUUAUAUACCAGAAACAGGAUGCAGUUACAAAAUUAAUAAACUUGCAAGUGAUCCUGCAUGCAUAUGAGAACUGAACACCAGACAGUAUCGUUACCAAACAGUACUGAGUAUUCUUUUGGAGGGAAUUCUGUUUAAAGAAAUUGGAGGAAAAAAGUCGAAGAUGAUUAUUUCAAGUGUCACUUUUAAAACCCACUUUCUUCACUGGACAGCCAUAACACCACAUACAGCAAAACUCGUUUAGUACAAACUCGGAUAUUGUGAAUUUACAGAUAAAGCGAAGUCAUCUUGGAUCCCCAACUAUAUAAAUUAAACACAUUCCUUAUACAGAUAUAACAAAUUAUGAAUAUAGCAAAGUAAUUUCGAAGGUCCCUAUGCCUUUGUCAUAACUAAGUUUAAAUACUGUAACAGUAAA